AAGGUACUAGUAAAACCAUUACCCUGCCUUGUCGAGACAGAAUUGUAGGUUAAACCCCUACGUACCUUA
This 69-nucleotide transfer RNA is filed under the name Osteogeneiosus militaris (soldier catfish). RNAcentral's name for it is "tRNA-Asp". Lineage: Eukaryota; Metazoa; Chordata; Actinopteri; Siluriformes; Ariidae. The record is from RNAcentral.